RNAcentral lists this ribosomal RNA (320 nucleotides) under uncultured archaeon. RNAcentral's name for it is "bacterial SSU rRNA". It matches the Rfam family "Archaeal small subunit ribosomal RNA", at positions 347 to 667 of the family's 1478-position model. The record is from RNAcentral.
ACUUUACAAUGCGGGAAACCGUGAUAAGGGGACACCGAGUGCCAGCAUCAUAUGUUGGCUGUCCAGAUGUGUAAAAUACAUCUGUUAGCAAGGGCCGGGCAAGACCGGUGCCAGCCGCCGCGGUAACACCGGCGGCCCGAGUGGUGAUCGUGAUUAUUGGGUCUAAAGGGUCCGUAGCCGGUUUGGUCAGUCCUCCGGGAAAUCUGACGGCUCAACCGUUAGGCUUUCGGUGGAUACUGCCAGACUUGGAACCGGGAGAGGUAAGAGGUACUACAGGGGUAGGAGUGAAAUCUUGUAAUCCCUGUGAGACCACCUGUGGC